ACACACUUGGUGUGUGUUCUGUACGUGAUCAGGGGAAGGCUCUAGAGAGCCAAACCCUAGUUCAUCAUAUAUCAUCCAAUUGAAGGAUGAAUCAAGGCUCGAAUUCAAGAAGGAACAUUAAUUAACGAUCACCCAAGCUAGGGGAUCAUAAGGAAUCAUGUCAAGAUGGUUGAGAGCGUGGAAGGCUAACUGGCUAAGAAGACUCAAGUAAGCGAACGCAAAUACGGGCGCGCAAGGUUAUACAGGUUUAUGGAUUUCUCAUCAUUGAGUGUAUGCGGUCGAAGAUCGAGUUAAGACAUGGAUUGUACGUGUGGGUGCAUGGUCACGUAAUUUAGUAUAAGUAUGUCAGGUCUUAAUUAAAUAUAUAGAAAGGAUUAAAGUAUUUAAGGUGAAAGAAUGAAUAUAACGAAAGAAAUUUUAAAUA
Long non-coding RNA from Helianthus annuus (common sunflower), 424 nucleotides. RefSeq lists it as uncharacterized. The transcript has 3 exons. NCBI's taxonomy places the organism in Eukaryota, Viridiplantae, Streptophyta, Magnoliopsida, Asterales, Asteraceae. The record is from RefSeq and is a predicted model, not a curated record.